RNAcentral lists this ribosomal RNA (579 nucleotides) under uncultured bacterium. RNAcentral describes it as "partial 16S ribosomal RNA". It matches the Rfam family "Bacterial small subunit ribosomal RNA", at positions 355 to 932 of the family's 1533-position model. The record is from RNAcentral.
UGGGGAAUUUUGGACAAUGGGCGAAAGCCUGAUCCAGCAAUGCCGCGUGUGUGAAGAAGGCCUUCGGGUUGUAAAGCACUUUUGUCCGGAAAGAAAUCCUUGGCUCUAAUACAGUCGGGGGAUGACGGUACCGGAAGAAUAAGCACCGGCUAACUACGUGCCAACAGCCGCGGUAAUACGUAGGGUGCAAGCGUUAAUCGGAAUUACUGGGCGUAAAGCGUGCGCAGGCGGUUUGCUAAGAUCGAUGUGAAAUCCCCGGGCUCAACCUGGGAACUGCAUUGGUGACUGGCAGGCUAGAGUAUGGCAGAGGGGGGUAGAAUUCCACGUGUAGCAGUGAAAUGCGUAGAGAUGUGGAGGAAUACCGAUGGCGAAGGCAGCCCCCUGGGCCAAUACUGACGCUCAUGCACGAAAGCGUGGGGAGCAAACAGGAUUAGAUACCCUGGUAGUCCACGCCCUAAACGAUGUCAACUAGUUGUUGGGGAUUCAUUUCCUUAGUAACGUAGCUAACGCGUGAAGUUGACCGCCUGGGGAGUACGGUCGCAAGAUUAAAACUUAAAUGAAUUGACGGGGUCAUAGCUG